Molecule: ribosomal RNA, 860 nt
Filed under: uncultured Acidobacteriota bacterium
Lineage: Bacteria; Pseudomonadati; Acidobacteriota
Description: bacterial SSU rRNA
Rfam family: Bacterial small subunit ribosomal RNA
Source: RNAcentral
UGCAAGUCGAACGCGAAAGUGGAGCAAUCCAUGAGUAGAGUGGCAAACGGGUGAGUAACGCGUGGGUGACCUACCUUCGAGCGGGGGAUAACGUCCCGAAAGGGACGCUAAUACCGCAUGACAUCCUGCUUUUGAACAGGCGGAGAUCAAAGCCGGGGAUCGCAAGACCCGGCACUUGAAGAGGGGCCCGCGUCUGAUUAGCUAGUUGGUGAGGUAACGGCUCACCAAGGCGACGAUCAGUAUCCGGCCUGAGAGGGCGGACGGACACACUGGGACUGAGACACGGCCCAGACUCCUACGGGAGGCAGCAGUGGGGAAUUGUUCACAAUGGGCGCAAGCCUGAUGACGCAACGCCGCGUGGAGGAUGAAGGUCUUCGGAUUGUAAACUCCUGUUGCUCGGGACGAAAAGCUCCGACCUAAUACGUCGGAGUCUGACGGUACCGGGUGAGGAAGCCCCGGCUAACUCUGUGCCAGCAGCCGCGGUAAUACAGAGGGGGCAAGCGUUGUUCGGAAUUACUGGGCGUAAAGGGCGCGUAGGCGGCCUGCUAAGUCGAACGUGAAAUCCCCGGGCUCAACCCGGGAACUGCGUCCGAUACUGGCGGGCUUGAAUCCGGGAGAGGGAUGUGGAAUUCCAGGUGUAGCGGUGAAAUGCGUAGAUAUCUGGAGGAACACCGGUGGCGAAGGCGGCAUCCUGGACCGGUAUUGACGCUGAGGCGCGAAAGCCAGGGGAGCAAACGGGAUUAGAUACCCCGGUAGUCCUGGCCCUAAACGAUGAAUGCUUGGUGUGGCGGGUAUCGAUCCCUGCCGUGCCGAAGCUAACGCAUUAAGCAUUCCGCCUGGGGAGUACGGUCGCAAGGCUG